ACAUCCAGAGAACUUAGCAGAGAUGCUUUGGUGCCUUCGGGAACUCUGAGACAGGUGCUGCAUGGCUGUCGUCAGCUCGUGUUGUGAAAUGGUUGGGUUAAGUCCCGNAACGAGCGCAACCCUUAUCCUUUGUUGCCAGCGGUUCGGCCGGGAACUCAAAGGAGACUGCCGGUGAUAAACCGGAGGAAGGUGGGGAUGACGUCAAGUCAUCAUGGCCCUUACGGCCAGGGCUACACACGUGCUACAAUGGCGCAUACAAAGAGAAGCGACCUCGCGAGAGCAAGCGGACCUCAUAAAGUGCGUCGUAGUCCGGAUUGGAGUCUGCAACUCGACUCCAUGAAGUCGGAAUCGCUAGUAAUCGUAGAUCAGAAUGCUACGGUGAAUACGUUCCCGGGCCUUGUACACACCGCCCGUCACACCAUGGGAGUGGGUUGCAAAAGAAGUAGGUAGCUUAACCUUCGGGAGGGCGCUUACCACUUUGUGAUUCAUGACUGGGGUGAAGUCGUAACAAGGUAAGCGUAGCGAG
This 526-nucleotide ribosomal RNA is filed under the name uncultured bacterium. Its description in RNAcentral is "bacterial SSU rRNA". It matches the Rfam family "Bacterial small subunit ribosomal RNA", at positions 984 to 1509 of the family's 1533-position model. The record is from RNAcentral.